Molecule: ribosomal RNA, 1369 nt
Filed under: uncultured bacterium
Lineage: Bacteria
Description: bacterial SSU rRNA
Rfam family: Bacterial small subunit ribosomal RNA
Source: RNAcentral
GACGAACGCUGGCGGCGUGCCUAAUACAUGCAAGUAGAACGCUGAAGAGAGGAGCUUGCUCUUCUUGGAUGAGUUGCGAACGGGUGAGUAACGCGUAGGUAACCUGCCUUGUAGCGGGGGAUAACUAUUGGAAACGAUAGCUAAUACCGCAUAACAAUGGAUGACACAUGUCAUUUAUUUGAAAGGGGCAAUUGCUCCACUACAAGAUGGACCUGCGUUGUAUUAGCUAGUAGGUGAGGUAAUGGCUCACCUAGGCGACGAUACAUAGCCGACCUGAGAGGGUGAUCGGCCACACUGGGACUGAGACACGGCCCAGACUCCUACGGGAGGCAGCAGUAGGGAAUCUUCGGCAAUGGGGGCAACCCUGACCGAGCAACGCCGCGUGAGUGAAGAAGGUUUUCGGAUCGUAAAGCUCUGUUGUAAGUCAAGAACGGGUGUGAGAGUGGAAAGUUCACACUGUGACGGUAGCUUACCAGAAAGGGACGGCUAACUACGUGCCAGCAGCCGCGGUAAUACGUAGGUCCCGAGCGUUGUCCGGAUUUAUUGGGCGUAAAGCGAGCGCAGGCGGUUUGAUAAGUCUGAAGUUAAAGGCUGUGGCUCAACCAUAGUUCGCUUUGGAAACUGUCAAACUUGAGUGCAGAAGGGGAGAGUGGAAUUCCAUGUGUAGCGGUGAAAUACGUAGAUAUAUGGAGGAACACCGGUGGCGAAAGCGGCUCUCUGGUCUGUAACUGACGCUGAGGCUCGAAAGCGUGGGGAGCGAACAGGAUUAGAUACCCUGGUAGUCCACGCCGUAAACGAUGAGUGCUAGGUGUUGGAUCCUUUCCGGGAUUCAGUGCCGCAGCUAACGCAUUAAGCACUCCGCCUGGGGAGUACGACCGCAAGGUUGAAACUCAAAGGAAUUGACGGGGGCCCGCACAAGCGGUGGAGCAUGUGGUUUAAUUCGAAGCAACGCGAAGAACCUUACCAGGUCUUGACAUCCCGAUGCUAUUUCUAGAGAUAGAAAGUUACUUCGGUACAUCGGUGACAGGUGGUGCAUGGUUGUCGUCAGCUCGUGUCGUGAGAUGUUGGGUUAAGUCCCGCAACGAGCGCAACCCCUAUUGUUAGUUGCCAUCAUUCAGUUGGGCACUCUAGCGAGACUGCCGGUAAUAAACCGGAGGAAGGUGGGGAUGACGUCAAAUCAUCAUGCCCCUUAUGACCUGGGCUACACACGUGCUACAAUGGUUGGUACAACGAGUUGCGAGUCGGUGACGGCGAGCUAAUCUCUUAAAGCCAAUCUCAGUUCGGAUUGUAGGCUGCAACUCGCCUACAUGAAGUCGGAAUCGCUAGUAAUCGCGGAUCAGCACGCCACGGUGAAUACGUUCCCGGGCCU